RNAcentral lists this small nucleolar RNA (130 nucleotides) under Prolemur simus (greater bamboo lemur). RNAcentral's name for it is "Small nucleolar RNA SNORA31 (ENSPSMG00000008242.1)". Lineage: Eukaryota; Metazoa; Chordata; Mammalia; Primates; Lemuridae. The record is from RNAcentral.
CUCAUCUAUUUGACAUACCUGGAGCAGCUAAUGUCUGCUGCUGAAGUUUCCACUACUGAUGCAAGAAAAAAAGCGUCCUUCCACUUUCUAUCCGAUUGUAGCAGUCAAGAUUGCAUGAAGAAAUACAGGA